UGGGGAAUAUUAGACAAUGGGCGAAAGCCUGAUCCAGCAACGCCGCGUGUGUGAAGAAGGUCUUCGGAUUGUAAAGCACUUUCGACGGGGACGAUGAUGACGGUACCCGUAGAAGAAGCCCCGGCUAACUUCGUGUCAG
RNAcentral lists this ribosomal RNA (139 nucleotides) under uncultured bacterium. Its description in RNAcentral is "partial 16S ribosomal RNA". It matches the Rfam family "Bacterial small subunit ribosomal RNA", at positions 355 to 511 of the family's 1533-position model. The record is from RNAcentral.